UUUUUUUUUUUUGUUUUAUUUUAAACUCAGAGUUUCUGAGUACUUAUGGAAUAAUAGCUGUGAGGGUAAUUAUCACUGCUUCUAGAACACUCACAUGUGUGGGGAAGAAAUAAGGACAUGGCUUUUUUCCCAGUUAUUAAUAUUUUUCAGCUGGAAUGAAAAAAUAUUCUGCAUGUAAAUAGCCAAGUUUCUUCAGGGGUUUCUGGAGAAAUGAGGAUCACUGAUGUGGCAUUUUUUUCCCAUCUAAGUACAAGCAUUGAUGGAAGAUCACAGCAGAAUAAAGAACAUGUCCAUCUAUGUACUUCCAAAUAAUGUUUUACUAAGACUGCAGAAAAGGACCCCAUAUGUUGCUUUAGCUACACAGCAGAAACAUGUCAGCCUGUGGGAGCAGGCCAGGGAACCGUCAACAUGUUUUCCCUGCCGACACUAGCACACAGCCGACCCUUUGUUCAGACUUACCUGUACAUGGGCAGGGCUCUCCAGAUAUUUAUACAGAGCCUUGAGACAUACCUACCAACCAACCUGAAAAACGUCAGUCAGCAGCUGAAGAGAUCUUUUGUCCUGACAAAAAGAUAAGGAAAAGAAAAUAUCCCAGAGCAGCUCAUUGGGUACUGAAUUAAAGGGGGCAACAAGCAGGUAUCAGUCCUUCCAAAGGCUAACCCUGCUGAUGGCUUACUUCAAGCACUGAGAUCAAACAGAUAAUGAGGUUUUGAAGUCCUAUUCAAACCCAGUGAAAAUACACAACUUAUGGAACAAAUUAUCUAAAUCAGUUUGAAAACCAAUACAGAAUGUUUUCAUAGGUUAUGCGCUUCAUGUGAAGAUGCAAAGCAUUAGGAACAGGCAAAUGAUGCCUUAGAAUGACAGGUGAGCAAUUGCCAAUCAACUUAUUUGACUGAUAACAGCUGGUUGGCUGCUCUCUUUCCUGUAUCAGUAGGUCAAGUUUUGUGUGUGAUUUUAGCCACUUUGACAGACCAGAAAAACUUGUAACUUAAUGCACUCCAAGCACUUGCAUUUAACACAGCCCUUCAGCUUCUAUGGAGAAGACCUUCUCUAGGCCACCCCUCACCCCUGUGCAGUCUCUUUUUUCAAAAGGAUCAAAAUUAAGGCAGCUGACAGAAACGGGUAAAGAUCAUCUUUGGGACCCUACAGUCAACCAAAAUAAUUAUUAACCACACUGCUUCUAAGUAAAGCCUGUUUUCACCACAUCUUUGCAGGCUUUGUCCGAGGUAGGGCUUUUAUCUCAUCACAAUUCUGCCAGUUUAGGGCAACACCCUCACAGCCACUCAAAGGGUCUCUUACUUUUCGCCUGAACUUCUCCUAGACUGCCUUAUCUCAUUUGUUUAAGACUCCACAAAUCCUCCCACAUCUUUACUUCUCUUUGUCUCCAAAAGGGUUUUCAAGUGUUUGAAAAUACAACAAAAUAUCUCUCCAACUCUGCCCUCUGACUCAUUCUCUCCCUCUCCUCACACACCAGCGCGGGCUGUGGCGCCGAGGCUCUGCGACCUCCCCUCAAAGGAGCGGCCGCGCAGAGGAGCGAAUUUUCCAGCUUUACAGGGCAGCAGGAAAAGGGCUUUGCCGGACUAAUCAGAGCCCCAUCCCCACAGCGGGUUGUGCAGCCUGCCCCAGCCCACACGCAGGGCUCGUCCCCACGGCACGGCCGGGCGCUGUGCUCCCGACUGGCAGCAGCUCACAGCAGCGGGACCGCAGCUGCUUCCCAACUCUCUGCUACAACUUUGUCAGCAGAAAGUGAAAUAAGGAGCUGGGGUUUGCACAGAAAUAUUCCGAGGCUGUUCACAGGGCCGUCUGCCAGCCACUCCGCUGUGAUAAGGGUGAAGGGAAACAUUCUGGAAGGGAGUAGCUGUCCCUGAGGUUCCCUGUCCUUCCCACUUGAACACUAAACUUACCUUCUACUCCGGUUCACCUCGAACAGCUGCACAGCAGAAAGCAGAGCAGGGCUGGAGAAGCAGCUGCCUAACUUGUAUCUGAGCUCCAGCCCGCUUCUCCGAGAGCCUGCCGUGGUGGUGGGGGCGAGGGAAGCCAGCGGCAUGGUUCCAUGCCACAAAGGAGGGUCUGCCGGGGACCACAGGCAUGGAAGGAGCCGCAGGGCUCUGGAGCAGGCAGGGGAGCUGGCCAGCAGGCAGGGGAGAUGGUCUGCAGCAAGAGAAUAUGGCCCACAGGCAGGGGAGAUGGUCUGCAGCCAGAGAAGAUGGCCCACAGGCAGGGGAGAUGGUCUGCAGCCAGAGAAGAUGGCCCACAGGCAGGGGAGAUGGUCUGCAGCCAGAGGAGCUGGCCAGCAGGCCCUCCUGUGGGCCAACACCACGGCCAUUCCUGUAACUGGCAGACCCUUGCUUGAGUGUAGGAAGCUCCAACAGUUCUUGAAGGCAGGUCUGGUCUGCCAAAACGGGGAAAUGUGAAGAAAGAUUUAAAAAGUCAGAGGCGUGUGACAUUCCUAAGGAGUUCUUGGAAAUCCAACUGGUAAUUUUUAAUGCAUGGAGUUGGCAGUGACUGGUUGCAGGUUUACAGCACUUGCAUAGCUUUCACAGGUGAUUUGUACUUCAUGCUUUCCCACGAUAAAGACCAUAUUUCAUGGAUCUGCAGUGAAAGGGUGCAUUCUUCUCCAUGUCUCUGAUGCCCUGUACCAGUAGCAGCUCUUGAGUGCAUAUUUUAGUUUGCUGCAACUUCACCUCACAUAUUGGUUUAUGUAUUAUGCAAGAGUCUACUGCUCUUUACAGCACUGGAACAAAAGCAAGGAAGCACUUCCCUACUAAGACCCCAAUUUAAGGAGGCCUUAAUUAACACAUAUGCACUCUUGCUGCAGUCAAACCCUGCACAUCCUACCCCUGCCCAUGAAUCCUAAUGUGUUUAGAGCAUGCCUUUCAUCUCACCAUGUAUCCUUCUGCCUCCUACACAGGGAAUCCCAGGCACUUCACAGAAUAUCACUGGAAUCAUAGAAUCAUGAAAUGGGCUGAGUUGGAAGGGAUCUUAAAGAUCAUCUAGUUCCAAACUGUCCUGCUAUGGGCAGGGACACCUUUCAGCAGACCAGAUUGCUCAAAGCCCUGUCCAAACUUGCCUUGAAUACCUCUAGCGAUGGGAUAUCCACAGCUUCUCUGGACAACCUGUUCCAGUACCUCACCGUAUAAAAUUUCAUCUUGAUAUCUAAUCUAAACCUACUGUCUUGCAGUUUUGACAUUCUACCUUGUCCUGUUACUAUGUGCCCUUGUAAACAGUCUCUCUCCAUUUUUGUUGUAGGAUUCUUUCAGGUGCUGGAAGGCCUCAGUUAGGUCACCUCAAGGCCUUCUCUUUUCUGGGCUGAACAAUUUCAAUUCUCUCAGCAGAGAGAAUUGAAAUUCCUCAUGGCAGAGGUGCUCCAUUCCUAUGAUCAUCUUGGUGACCUCCUCUGGACUCAUCCCAACAAGCCCAUGUCUUUCCUGGGCUGGGGACACCUGUGCUGGGGACCCCAGUGCUGGAUGCAGCACUCAAGAUGGGGUCUCACGAGAAGGAUGCUUUCACACUCUAGAAAAAUAUAUCUUAAUUCAGUAAAGAGCAUUGAAUAUUCAGAAAGAUCCAUUGGCAGCUCUGGAUUUUAGAGAGUACCUUAGAUUUAAUUUUCCAGUAUAAAGGUCUUGAUUCAAAGCUUGGUUAAGUUCAUUACAAUCUUUUUUUCUAGCAGGCACAGGAUUAGUUUAGCUCUUAAUUUAGCUGACUGACCAUCCUGAUGUCAGGUCACAGAUCCAAUUUAAUUCUGACUUCCUUUUUCCCUACUUAAUCCCUUCAUUUGUGAAUAUUUCCAGCAGUCAGGAGUUAGACAUUCCUCUUUGUGGUGAGCUGAUGUAGGCUGUAUGCCAGGGUCCCACCAAGAAGCUCUGGCAUUCCUCCUCUUCAAGUGGACAGCAGAGAGAGAAAAGAGAGCAAAAGACUCAGGGGUUAAGAUAAGGACAGAAGAUCACUCAAAAAUUACCAUCACACAAAAAUGGACUCAACUUGGGAAUAUUAAUAUAAUUUAUUACCAAUUGUUCUGUUUUAAACCCAGCUGGCUACUUGUCACUCCCCAUCACUUACCCACAGUCACUUGUUCACUCCCCAUCUGUGGAAUAGGGGGAAAAACUAAGUAGGGUAAAUAUCCUUUGCAUCCAAGAGAUACUCAGAUAAACAAUAUGAACAAAUGUGAAACGAUGUGAACAAAUUUCACUUAGCAAUGCCACUUUGACUAUUUAUAUAAUGGGAGUUUACUUAGAAUUCAAAUCAGAUACCAAAUUCCAGUAACAUAUAGUGAUAAUUAAUUAAGUAUGCAGCUUGACUCACAUAGGACUCUUUUGGUUUAAUUGUUGAACCAUAACUCUGUCCAUUUAUUUUUUAUUGUAUGGGAAAAAAACAACCACAAUUUUAAUCACAAAAGCUAGAAACCAUUGCCACAAAAUACCAGUUGCAAAAGCAGAAAGUAAAAGAAAGUAGUCUUUCUUGAAGUCAGUAACUUUUUGAAAAUUAGUAAGAGAAUUUCUAACAUUAGUAUCUUGCUUUUGAUAUGUUAAAUGAAUUGUCAUUUUCUGUUGUUUUUCCUUUGAUUUCCAUCUGCAAAGAAUAACAGGUAUCAAAUAAAUGAACAGUGGUCUCUUUGGUGAGCCUUUAUAUUCAGUGCAUCAUAGACAGCUCUUAUAAAUGAACAAUAUUAAGCAAUAUUAGGAGGGAAUGAAGCAAAGGAGUAACUGCAUCUUGCAAGAAAACCUCAAAGUUAUUACGUCUAGGCAGGAUGCACAAGAGCAAAGCACUCAAAGAGGGAAUGUGACAUUUUAGUUGCAGUGUCUAAAGGCCAUUUGUGUUGUGCUGCUGGUUUUUAUAUAAGACCAAAUCAGUAAAGUCAGUAUAAUUUUAUACCAUUUAUUCACUCAGUAAUAUUUGAAUUCUCCUCUGGUCUUUCUGCCACACAUUGGUGUAUUUUUUCAUUGCAAAAGAAUGAUGGAGGUCAUAUCAGGCAGGUGCAGAUAGUUUUUUCAUUUUUUUAAGGUGGGAAGCAAGUAGCCCAGUAUUAGGAAGCAAGAUGUUCUGUGUAAAAGACUAUUGGAUACUUAAAAAAACUUCUGAAUUUCUCUUUCAUCUCUGGCACUCAUAUUUGAAUUCCUUUGGUGAUGUGAGGUCAUAAAAGUGGCCUGGUAGGAAGGUGACAAAUACUGAACAAAAGACACUAUCUGCUGAAAAAAUACUGACAUCUCUGAAAAGUGAAGCUGGUCACUUUUAAGUGCAGUCAGGGUAUGUAGAAGCCAGAGACACCAUGGAUAAACACAAACCCAAGGGACUUCAAUGGCAAUUUAGAAUCUGAUAAGGUGAAAAAUCACCUAGCUCUGAAAGAACAAAAACCACCCUUAUCUAAUGGUUGUUACAGGCAAAAAAAAAAAAAAAAAAAAAAAAU
Taeniopygia guttata (zebra finch) is the source of this 5404-nucleotide long non-coding RNA. The record is from Ensembl. NCBI's taxonomy places the organism in Eukaryota, Metazoa, Chordata, Aves, Passeriformes, Estrildidae.